UAGGGAAUCUUCGGCAAUGGGGGGAACCCUGACCGAGCAACGCCGCGUGAGUGAAGAAGGUUUUCGGAUCGUAAAGCUCUGUUGUUAAGGAAGAACGAGUGUGAGAAUGGAAAGUUCAUACUGUGACGGUACUUAACCAGAAAGGGACGGCUAACUACGUGCCAGCAGCCGCGGUAAUACGUAGGUCCCGAGCGUUGUCCGGAUUUAUUGGGCGUAAAGCGAGCGCGGGCGGUUAGUUAAGUCUGAAGUUAAAGGCAGUGGCUCAACCAUUGUAGGCUUUGGAAACUGUUUAACUUUAGUGCAGAAGGGGAGAGUGGAAUUCCAUGUUUAGCGGUGAAAUGCGUAGAUAUAUGGAGGAACACCGGUGGCGAAAGCGGCUCUCUGGUCUGUAACUGACGCUGAGGCUCGAAAGCGUGGGGAGCGAACAGG
This 429-nucleotide ribosomal RNA is filed under the name Bacteroidota bacterium. RNAcentral's name for it is "Bacteroidetes bacterium partial 16S ribosomal RNA". It matches the Rfam family "Bacterial small subunit ribosomal RNA", at positions 355 to 776 of the family's 1533-position model. Lineage: Bacteria; Pseudomonadati; Bacteroidota. The record is from RNAcentral.